ACGGGAGGCAGCAGUGGGGAAUAUUGCACAAUGGGGGGAACCCUGAUGCAGCGACGCCGCGUGAAGGAAGAAGUAUCUCGGUAUGUAAACUUCUAUCAGCAGGGAAGAAAAUGACGGUACCUGACUAAGAAGCCCCGGCUAACUACGUGCCAGCAGCCGCGGUAAUACGUAGGGGGCAAGCGUUAUCCGGAUUUACUGGGUGUAAAGGGAGCGUAGACGGAUGGACAAGUCUGAUGUGAAAGGCUGGGGCUCAACCCCGGGACUGCAUUGGAAACUGCCUGUCUUGAGUGCCGGAGAGGUAAGCGGAAUUCCUAGUGUAGCGGUGAAAUGCGUAGAUAUUAGGAGGAACACCAGUGGCGAAGGCGGCUUACUGGACGGUAACUGACGUUGAGGCUCGAAAGCGUGGGGAGCAAACAGGAUUAGAUACCCUGGUAGUCCACGCGGUAAACGAUGAAUGUCUAGGUGUCGGGGCAGCAAAGCUCUUCGGUGCC
Molecule: ribosomal RNA, 491 nt
Filed under: uncultured bacterium
Lineage: Bacteria
Description: bacterial SSU rRNA
Rfam family: Bacterial small subunit ribosomal RNA
Source: RNAcentral